RNAcentral lists this unclassified non-coding RNA (180 nucleotides) under Oryza sativa (Asian cultivated rice). RNAcentral describes it as "partial microRNA MIR455b-18 precursor". Lineage: Eukaryota; Viridiplantae; Streptophyta; Magnoliopsida; Poales; Poaceae. The record is from RNAcentral.
UCCUCCGUUUCACAAUAUAAGUCAUUCUAGGUUUUCCUAUAUUCAUAUUGAUGUUAAUGAAUAUAUAUAUAUAUAUAUAUAUAUAUAUAUAUAUAUAUAUAUAUAUAUAUAUAUUCAUUAACAUCAAUAUGAAUGUGGGAAAUGUUAGAAUGACUUACAUUGUGAAACGGAAGGAGUACU